GAAAUGCGAUAAGUAAUGUGAAUUGCAGAAUUCAGUGAAUCAUCGAAUCUUUGAACGCACAUUGCGCCCGCCAGUAUUCUGGCGGGCAUGCCUGUUCGAGCGUCAUUUCAACCAUCAAGCCCCCGGCUUGUGUUGGGGACCUGCGGCUGCCCACAGGCCCUGAAAAACAGUGGCGGGCUCGCUGUCACACCGAGCGUAGUAGCAUACAUUCUCGCUCAGGGCGUGCUGCGGGUUCCGGCCGUUAAACGACCUUCAUAACCCAAGGUUGACCUCGGAUCAGGUAGGAAGACCCGCUGAACUUAAGC
RNAcentral lists this unclassified non-coding RNA (305 nucleotides) under plant metagenome. RNAcentral describes it as "partial contains 5.8S ribosomal RNA, internal transcribed spacer 2, and large subunit ribosomal RNA". The stretch from base 1 to 105 matches the Rfam family "5.8S ribosomal RNA", at positions 50 to 154 of the family's 154-position model. The record is from RNAcentral.